Molecule: ribosomal RNA, 478 nt
Filed under: uncultured bacterium
Lineage: Bacteria
Description: partial 16S ribosomal RNA
Rfam family: Bacterial small subunit ribosomal RNA
Source: RNAcentral
GACGAACGCUGGCGGCGUGCUUAACACAUGCAAGUCGAACGGUAAGGCCCUUCGGGGUACACGAGUGGCGAACGGGUGAGUAACACGCGGGUGAUCUGCCCUGCACUUCGGGAUAAGCCUGGGAAACUGGGUCUAAUACCGGAUAGGACCACUGCCUGCAUGGGUGGUGGUGGAAAGCUUUUGCGGUGUGGGAUGGGCCCGCGGCCUAGCAGCUUGUUGGUGGGGUGACGGCCUACCAAGGCGACGGCGGGUAGCCGGCCUGAGAGGGUGACCGGCCACACUGGGACUGAGAUACGGCCCAGACUCCUACGGGAGGCAGGAGUGGGGAAUAUUGCACAAUGGGCGCAAGCCUGAUGCAGCGACGCCGCGUGAGGGAUGACGGCCUUCGGGUUGUAAACCUCUUUCAGCACCGACGAAGCGCAAGUGACGGUAAGUGCAGAAGAAGGACCGGCCAACUACGUGCCAGCAGCCGCCGUAA